This 203-nucleotide unclassified non-coding RNA is filed under the name uncultured Thelephora. RNAcentral's name for it is "sequence contains ITS1". Lineage: Eukaryota; Fungi; Basidiomycota; Agaricomycetes; Thelephorales; Thelephoraceae. The record is from RNAcentral.
CUGAGUUGUCGACACGAGCUGUUGCUGGUCCUCAAACGGGGGCAUGUGCACGCUCUGUUCACACAUCCACUCACACCUGUGCACCCUCUGUAGUUCUAUGGUCUGGGGGACGCACCGUCUUCCUCCCGUGGUCCUACGUCUUUACACACACACACUAUGACAAGGUAUCAUGGAAUGUACAUCGCGUUUAACGCAAUACAAUA